AGGUGGGGUCCAGCCACACGGCGAUCACAUAACCAUUUGUAAUAGAUACACAAUUAGUCGGAUAGGCCUUGACGAGCGACGGUAGCUAAUCACUGUCAAGGUCACUUCCCGAAGGUCAUUUGUUUUCUCGGGAUAUUCGCCUCCGUUUUGCUUGCUCCGUUGCUUCAGCUGUUACUAAAACAAUGUUCCCGCUGUACGAGGUGUCUUUAAUUAAAAUGAUUCAAUCAAUGGCUCAUCAUCAGACGAAUCUACUUCUACCACAAUGGGACCUAAAAAUACAAAAAUACUUGUAUCAAAAUAUCCAGGUUCGAUUUCAAAAUAAUAUUUAAACAAUUUAAAAUUAAUUAGUCAUAAAUUAAUGACUGAAAUUGAGAAAUAAUCAUUUAAUGUUUAUGCAAAUGAAAUUAAUAAACUAUAUAGAUAGAUGUAAAUAUAUAUUUAUAUAAGAAUACAUACAAAAAUAUGUAUGUAUGAAAUAAUUUUAGUGAUUCAAUAUAACAAUAUUUAGAAUGAUCAA
Molecule: long non-coding RNA, 517 nt
Organism: Apis cerana (Asiatic honeybee)
Lineage: Eukaryota; Metazoa; Arthropoda; Insecta; Hymenoptera; Apidae
Source: RefSeq, a predicted model, not a curated record